Arachis ipaensis is the source of this 722-nucleotide non-coding RNA. Lineage: Eukaryota; Viridiplantae; Streptophyta; Magnoliopsida; Fabales; Fabaceae. The record is from RefSeq and is a predicted model, not a curated record.
AGUUUGUUCCUCCAAAUCUUUAUUGGGCUCGAAAAAUUUUUGAGAAGCAAGGUGCUGCUUUACUAAAAAGUUUGUUGGGAAAAGCCCGUGCAAGACGUGUCAAACCUCAAUGGAUAGGAGAAGAAGUAUGCAUGCUCUGAGCGCUUAUUGGAAUACUGAUGCUGGAUUUCUACAAAAGAGUGCACAAGGUAAGUUAAAUCGAGCAUAUGAUUGUAGCGGGUUUGGAGCAGCUCCUCAUACUACUGGCUCAAUUUCCGUUACCCAACACAAAACUAAUAUGGUGAUGUUAUAGAAAAACUUAGAUAUUUUAUGUUAUAAUUUUAUAUACUUCAGUUGGUAGUUGAUACUCAUAAGUUUUUUAAUUUAUAUUUUUGGUAGAAAAAAUCAUUAAAGAAGACUCCAACACAAUUAGAAUUUUUUGCUAAGACCCACAAACACAAGGAUGAGACAUGGCUGGAUAAGAAAUCAAAACAUGUUGAGAAUGCUAUAGAACAGACUACGCAAAAAGCAUUUGAGGAAGGAAGUAAUGCACCAAAUGAGAUGGAUGUGUUGUGUGAAAUAGCCAGAGUUAAAAAGGGAAGAAUUUAUGGACUUGGAAUAGAAUCCACUGUAAUUGACAAAAGACCUAGUUAUCGUGGCUCUAGUUCUUAGUCAUUCGAUUGGUUACGAUGGUCAGAACAUGAAGAAAUAAUGAAAAAAAUGCAAGAAGAGAACGAUGACUU